Molecule: long non-coding RNA, 807 nt
Organism: Onychostruthus taczanowskii (white-rumped snowfinch)
Lineage: Eukaryota; Metazoa; Chordata; Aves; Passeriformes; Passeridae
Exons: 3
Source: RefSeq, a predicted model, not a curated record
UCAAGUUUGUAUUGCUUACUGGUAAAAUUAUUCAUUUUUGUUGAAACCUCCAAUUCCUGGCUGAACCAUGCUGUGAUAAAUAAGGAAGGCUGUAUUGGGUUCAUCAUGCAAAGGGAUGGAGGCUGCAACAAAAGGCUGAGAAGCAUCAGUGAAAAUAAAUGUUGGGAAGUAAACUUUCCAGUGUAUUUUGGCCCUGCCCAGCACUUCCAAGAGUUUCACCUCAUUAUACCCACUGGCAUAAUGUCACUGGCCUUUGAGUAUUGGAGCUGAUACAGCCUCUGCCACCCUGCCCUUCCUGCUUGAAGUUAUUCAGAGCCAAGCCUUCACAUGUGGCCUUCAGCAAGAAGUUAACAAAAAAAGGAAGAAAGCCUGUUAAAACACACCAAUGCACCCUGCUUCUUGUAUGAUCAGUCAUUUGGUCUGUGUUGCAGGCAUGCUGUUUGCACUAUCAGUGAAAUGACAAAAACUGUGCCUUCCUGUAUGUUCCUUGCUGGCAAAAAUUUCCAAGAUGAUCUGUACAGUUUGUGAACAACACCUCUGCUAAAGGAAAGAGAGGCUGAAGCGACUAGAGAACAGGAUGGAGUGGAUUUCAGUGGGCUGGGGAGUGGUGCCAUGUUCCUUGGGAGAAAGAACUGCUGCAGGUUGCCCGUAGAAAGACCAACAUCCCAAAGACAAGAAUUCUGCUGAUGUAAAUGGAGAAGGGCAGGUGUCCUGUCUUCUUCAGUCAACUGAUCGCAGUCAUGGUAACCUGAACACACAAGUCCCUUCAGAGGUUCCCUCAGAAAACAUACCACAUCUUUGUUUCAU